GCAGUGGUUGUUCAAUGGUAGAAUUCUUUCCUUUCAUGUGGGAGACCCGGGUUCGAUUCCCGGCCAGUGUA
This 71-nucleotide transfer RNA is filed under the name Loxodonta africana (African savanna elephant). It matches the Rfam family "tRNA". From Rfam's summary of the family: Transfer RNA (tRNA) molecules are approximately 80 nucleotides in length. Their secondary structure includes four short double-helical elements and three loops (D, anti-codon, and T loops). The record is from Rfam by way of RNAcentral. Lineage: Eukaryota; Metazoa; Chordata; Mammalia; Proboscidea; Elephantidae.